RNAcentral lists this long non-coding RNA (2817 nucleotides) under Limulus polyphemus (Atlantic horseshoe crab). Its description in RNAcentral is "uncharacterized LOC111083495, transcript variant X2". The record is from RNAcentral. Lineage: Eukaryota; Metazoa; Arthropoda; Merostomata; Xiphosura; Limulidae.
AUAUCAUACACAGUCAACAACCAUUUCACCACCUGCUGUGUGUGUAUCAUUACAUUGUUCUGAUAUAUCAUACACAGUCAACAACCAUUUCACCACAUGCUGUGUGUAUCAUUACACUGUCCUGAUAUAUCAUACACAGUCAACAACCAUUUCACCACGUGCUGUGUGUGUGUAUUUAAAAAUUGUCCGAGAAGUUGUUUUAACCUAAUUUUUAUGUGUGCUGAUGUUUAUAACAUAGUACGCACAAAACCUCGCUAAUUGCCCAAGGUAUGUUUACUUAAACAAAACAGACGUACGUUUUAAAAUAUAUGGUGUUUUGUUAUUUCCAUCAGAGUAUUUCUUGUGCUUCAGGAUUAACCUUGUUUAAUGUCUUGUAAGUUUCAGAAUGACAUCCAUUCUUGACGAAAGUCCUAGUUGUGCCAAAGGGUUAAUUUAUUUUUGUAGUAGUGUGUGGGUAACAGAUGUUGUGAAUGCUACCGUGACAAAUUUCAAUUCAUUUUUGUACUUCAGAAGUUUAACCAGUAGUUAAAGGUACUACUAUCAGUGUUGUGUUUAGAUCAUUUUAUUUCCUUCAAACCAGAAACUUGGUCUAUGCAACUGCUGCCUCACUCUUAGAUAUAACUUCUUGGUAAUUUAGAUUUUUUUUAUUGUAUGUGGGCCAAAGUAAUUAGUGAAAUUUUCUACAGUUUUUGAUGUUUUGAACAUUCCUGGAAAUGAAAGAUUAUAAAGAAGUACAAAGUAGUUUUGAUACUUAAGAUUUUCUUUGUAUGUCGACCUUUCUUUGUUUUUAAGCAAUCUUUGAUACCAUUUAAAUUAGUGAUUCUGAAAGUGGAUCAUAGUUAUUGACGGUAUUUCUCCAUCUUAAUUUUAUAAUGUGAUGCGGGCUCAGCAAAGCAUGCCAAUAUUUUUAUGUGAUCUUUGAUACCAUUUAAAUUAAGUUUUGUCAAAGUGGAUCGUGCGUGUGUUGGCAGGAUUUUUCCAUCUUAAUUUUAUAACUUACGACACUACAUUAAAAAGAAUACAAUUUAUUGAAACAGUUAGAACAGUGGUGGGGGGUGAACAACUAACAGGUUUAACUUGCAUGUGUUGAUAUCGUACCAAAGUAUGCACAGACUUCUUGGUAUCCUUUUGAUUGUUUGUAUGCUUAAAAAGUUCUAUGAGUUCCUUUAUUUAAAUUGGUUUCUUACACUUCUAACCUAUUCAUAUCAUUAGAAGCCAACUGGGUUUUGAGUUUAAGCAUUCAUUAAAUUAUAACUUGUAUCUUUAAUUAUUUAAGAUGAUAUCGGGACUACCUCACUCCGAAGUACAAUGGAGUGUAUCUGGAGCUCUUCAUGCAUUUGUAGCACAUCAUUACCUAAAAUCUGUUCAUCGUAAGUGGCUCAUCUAGGGAUAGAAACCUUACUUGUAUUUCGUGUACGCAGGUAGUCAGCCCAGUUCAGUACACCCAACCCUGGGUAACGGAACAAUGUACUUACUAAAUUAUUCUUACUAGUUAGAGGUCCAAUUUUGUUUCUACUAGCCAUUUACUUGUACCAAUAUGUGGUUAAAUGUUGAGAUUUGAAAAUAGUCGGGUUCACAAUCAUAAGUUUCUCAGGAGCAGUCUUUGAUAAAAGUAACUUUCAGAUUUCAGGGUUGUAGUAUACACGUUAGAAUGACAGGAAAAACAGUCUCAAAGUACAGCUAACAAAACUGUUUGUCUACCAAUUUCUAGUUACCAUUUACUUUAAAAAGAUAAAGAAAACAUAAGUAAAUUUUACUUCAAAUAGUCCAGAAACUAUACACACGAGGAAUGUGUGUCACAUCAGACAGUCCAGAACUAUACACACGAGGAAGGUGUGUCACUUCAGAGAGUCCAGAAACUAUACACACGAGGAAGGUGUGUCACUUCAGAGAGUCCAGAAACUAUACACACGAGGAAGGUGUGUCACUUCAGAGAGUCCAGAAACUAUACACACGAGGAAGGUGUGUCACAUCAGACAGUCCAGAAACUAUACACACGAGGAAGGUGUGUCACACACGAGGAAGGUGUGUCACAUCAGACAGUCCAGAAACUACACACACACACAAGGAAGGUGUGAAAAUUUAGUUUUCAAAUGAUUUGAGAGGUUUUCUAUAGAAAUUGUCCCGUUUAUGUUAAUUUAUAUUUCUACUUUCUUCAAAACUUAAUCUCUUGUAUUUCAUUUAUUGUUCUGAAGAACUUAAUCAAAUCAGACUUUGUUUUCUUAUCAAAUUUAUUGUAUAAUUUAAACAUUUUUCUUGCCGAUUCAUUAUCUUUAGUUCUUUUUCUUAUUUUGUGUGAUUAUUUUUUAUAUAUAUAUAUAAAACAGUCACUUGAUAUCUGUGAAUUGUUUCUUGGUGUAGAAAUAAUUAGUUAAAAAAAGGUUUGGAAUGUUUUCACUACAUGAGCAUUUUAUGUAAACAGGCUAAUAUAUGUGUAUGUUGUUAUUUUGUUGAAAAUAACCGCAUAGGUCUCCAAUUUUUAGCUGAAUUGGUUAAACUGUAAGUACCAAUCCAAUUUCAGCAUUAAUACCAGCCUGUAACCAUGGUAGUGUUUGUUCAACAAAUCAUAAUGAGACAUUUCGUAAAAUCUUCUAGGAUGCUCAACGGAGGUGAAUUAGUAACAAAAUAAAUAUUGUAAUUUGACUAAUAUUGGUAACUUCAUUACUUCAACUGAUUGGUCGUGUUUAUAUUAUCAAUUGCAAUAUUGAACUCGUGUCUGUGAUUGCCUUGUUACAUUUACAUAAUUCUUCUUUAAAAAUGAAGCUUCAAUAACUGUACUUUAAUUGAAGAAAUAUAAUUAAAGAAUUUAUUCAACUA